Notolabrus celidotus (New Zealand spotty) is the source of this 602-nucleotide long non-coding RNA. RefSeq lists it as uncharacterized. The transcript has 5 exons. The record is from RefSeq and is a predicted model, not a curated record. Lineage: Eukaryota; Metazoa; Chordata; Actinopteri; Labriformes; Labridae.
UAACAUCCUGAAUGGAAACACCAAACAGAUCCUGGGAUUGUUACCGUCACUUUGCUCUGACUGCUCCCAGGCCUGAGGAAUAAUGAGGAGCCGCAGGAAACCUCAGGGCCUCGCAAGAUACGAGCUGCGCAUGUUUUGCACGUUGCAAUCAGGUUAUCCUCAAGUGACGCCAUGUUUGCUCUCUCGUCAGACCAUACCUCAGGGCGCUGGGUGUUUAUCGGCAGGACUGGAGAAGCAGAGAUCACCGGACUGGUAAUUGUUUCCUCUAAAUCUGCUGAGCUCUGAGGAACACCGAGUGCAGUUUUUCAUCAGACGGAGAAUGAGAGGGUAAAAGGACAAUACUAAGAAAAGCAAAAAUGCUUUAGUCCAUCAUGUUGGAUUUUAUCACUUCAUCUAACAACUGAGGAGCUCUCCGGCUCCACGCUGGGCCUGAAAUGGGACCCCAGUCACUGCGGCCCCUUGGAGUUUGCGUAGAGUGAGCGGCGGUGCUGAGCUCUGUCACAGGAGACAGUUUGUUUACGGAGGAGCUGAAAAACGUCGUAUGUCUCUGCAUUACAUUGUACUGAUGUGCACUGACUGAUUGUGUUGUAUUAAAACAUAUG